GAGUUUAUAGCUCAAUUGGAUAGAGUAGUGGACGUUUAAUCCACAAGAUAUGAGUUCGAAUCUCAUUAAACUCA
Molecule: transfer RNA, 74 nt
Filed under: Bacteriophage sp.
Description: tRNA-Lys
Rfam family: tRNA
About the family: Transfer RNA (tRNA) molecules are approximately 80 nucleotides in length. Their secondary structure includes four short double-helical elements and three loops (D, anti-codon, and T loops).
Source: RNAcentral